CCCACACCCAUGUGUGUAGGACCCCAAAAGAUCACCAUUAAAUUUGGCACAGAUCUCUAGAAAAAUUAUCACAUGGGUGUAGAACUUGACUUUUCUAGAGAUAUGUGCCAAAUUUAAUAGUGAUUCUUUGAGGUCCUACACACAUGAGUGUGGA
This 154-nucleotide microRNA precursor is filed under the name Amborella trichopoda. RNAcentral describes it as "MIR8565 microRNA precursor family". It matches the Rfam family "MIR8565 microRNA precursor family". Lineage: Eukaryota; Viridiplantae; Streptophyta; Magnoliopsida; Amborellales; Amborellaceae. The record is from Rfam by way of RNAcentral.